AUCCAGACUCCUACGGGAGGCAGCAGUGGGGAAUAUUGCACAAUGGGGGAAACCCUGAUGCAGCGACGCCGCGUGAGCGAUGAAGUAUUUCGGUAUGUAAAGCUCUAUCAGCAGGGAAGAAGAUGACGGUACCUGACUAAGAAGCCCCGGCUAACUACGUGCCAGCAGCCGCGGUAAUACGUAGGGGGCAAGCGUUAUCCGGAUUUACUGGGUGUAAAGGGAGCGUAGACGGCGAUGCAAGCCAGAUGUGAAAGCCCGGGGCUCAACCCCGGGACUGCAUUUGGAACCGUGUGGCUGGAGUGUCGGAGAGGCAGGCGGAAUUCCUAGUGCAGCGGUGGAAUGCGUAGAUAUUAGGAGGAACACCAGUGGCGAAGGCGGCCUGCUGGACGAUGACUGACGUUGAGGCUCGAAAGUGUGGGGAGCAAACAGGAUUAGAUACCCUCGUA
This 446-nucleotide ribosomal RNA is filed under the name uncultured bacterium. RNAcentral describes it as "bacterial SSU rRNA". It matches the Rfam family "Bacterial small subunit ribosomal RNA", at positions 329 to 792 of the family's 1533-position model. The record is from RNAcentral.